CGCAUCUGUGCAUGCAGCAUAUCAAUAAGCGGAGGAAAAGAAACUAACAAGGAUUCCCUUAGUAACGGCGAGUGAAGCGGGAAGAGCUCAAAUUUGAAAUCUUCAAGGUUUUACCUUGACGAAUUGUAGUUUAAAGAAGUGUUUUCUGUUGAAGUUUUGGUAAAAGUUCUUUGGAAUAGGACAUCAUAGAGGGUGAGAAUCCCGUAUUUGACCAUUAUUUUCAGCCUGUGUGAUACACUUUCAAAGAGUCGGAUUGUUUGGGAAUGCAGUCCAAAAUGGGUGGUAAAUUUCAUCUAAAGCUAAAUAUUGGCGAGAGACCGAUAGCGAACAAGUACCGUGAGGGAAAGAUGAAAAGAACUUUGAAAAGAGAGUUAAACAGUACGUGAAAUUGUCAAAAGGGAAGCGUUUGACACCAGUGUUGUUUUCUCGAAAAUCAAUUAAAAAGAGUUAGAUUUUGUUGUGUAUUGACCUUAACAGCUUGCAUUUCAAUUUUCCUUGCUUUUUUUAAUGCACUUUUCGUUUAACAAGUCAACAUCAGUUUCUUUUGUUGUAAAAAGGUCAUUGGAAGGUGGCUUUCUUUUCGGAGAAAGUGUUUAUAGCCUUUGACUCCUGCAAUCGGAGAGACUGAGGUCUGCAGCGUAGAUCCUUCGGGGUUAGAUACAUUUGUGCUAAGUUAUAGCUUUUUAUAGACAACUUGUUGACUAUGAUUAGUCUUGUAGCUUACUCGCUUAUGCUAUUUUACCUACGCUUAGGAUGUUGACACACGCGCGUGCUC
This 775-nucleotide ribosomal RNA is filed under the name uncultured Neocallimastigales. RNAcentral's name for it is "partial large subunit ribosomal RNA". It matches the Rfam family "Eukaryotic large subunit ribosomal RNA", at positions 26 to 635 of the family's 3401-position model. Lineage: Eukaryota; Fungi; Neocallimastigomycota; Neocallimastigomycetes; Neocallimastigales. The record is from RNAcentral.